Molecule: ribosomal RNA, 482 nt
Filed under: Histrio histrio (sargassumfish)
Lineage: Eukaryota; Metazoa; Chordata; Actinopteri; Lophiiformes; Antennariidae
Description: partial 16S ribosomal RNA
Rfam family: Bacterial large subunit ribosomal RNA
Source: RNAcentral
UUUAACGGCCGCGGUAUCUUGACCGUGCUAAGGUAGCGCAAUCAAUUGUCUCUUAAAUGGAGACCUGUAUGAAUGGCUUCUCGAGGGCUUAACUGUCUCCUUUUCUCGGUCAAUGAAAUUGAUCUCCCCGUGCAGAAGCGGGGAUAAGCACAUAAGACGAGAAGACCCUGUGGAGCUUUAGACGCUUGACGUAGCCUAAUGUUAAAUUAUCUGCCCUAAAAGAUAAUAAUUCAAAGUCCCUACUCUAAUGUCUUUGGUUGGGGCGACCAUGGAGUAAAAAGUAACCUCCACGUGGAAUACGGGUACUACCCAUUAAAACCAGGGGCUACCGCCCUAUUUAUCAGAAUUUCUGACCUUACAGAUCCGGCCCUGCCGAUCAACGAAUAGAGUUACCCCAGGGAUAACAGCGCAAUCUCCUUUAAAAGACCAUAUCUAAAAGGGGGUUUACGACCUCGAUGUUGGAUCAGGACAUCCUAUAGGGG